RNAcentral lists this ribosomal RNA (484 nucleotides) under uncultured bacterium. RNAcentral's name for it is "partial 16S ribosomal RNA". It matches the Rfam family "Bacterial small subunit ribosomal RNA", at positions 30 to 507 of the family's 1533-position model. The record is from RNAcentral.
AUUGAACGCUGGCGGCAGGCCUAACACAUGCAAGUCGAGCGGAUGAAGGGAGCUUGCUCCUGGAUUCAGCGGCGGACGGGUGAGUAAUGCCUAGGAAUCUGCCUGGUAGUGGGGGAUAACGUCCGGAAACGGGCGCUAAUACCGCAUACGUCCUGAGGGAGCAAGUGGGGGAUCUUCGGACCUCACGCUAUCAGAUGAUCCUAGGUCGGAUUAGCUAGUUGGUGGGGUAAAGGCCUACCAAGGCGACGAUCCGUAACUGGUCUGAGAGGAUGAUCAGUCACACUGGAAAUGAGACACGGUCCAGACUCCUACGGGAGGCAGCAGUGGGGAAUAUUGGACAAUGGGCGAAAGCCUGAUCCAGCCAAGCCGCGUGUGUGAAGAAGGUCUUCGGAUUGUAAAGCACUUUAAGUUGGGAGGAAGGGCAGUAAGUUAAUACCUUGCUGUUUUGACGUUACCAACAGAAUAAGCACCGGCUAACUUCGUG